This 90-nucleotide ribosomal RNA is filed under the name Staphylococcus aureus. Lineage: Bacteria; Bacillati; Bacillota; Bacilli; Caryophanales; Staphylococcaceae. The record is from RNAcentral. RNAcentral also lists the same sequence under 59 other names.
ACCUGUUCCCAUGCCGAACACAGAAGUUAAGCUCCUUAGCGUCGAUGGUAGUCGAACUUACGUUCCGCUAGAGUAGAACGUUGCCAGGCA